UNGGAAUUCAAUGGCCUGGAACAGUGAC
This 28-nucleotide non-coding RNA is filed under the name Mus musculus (house mouse). The record is from RNAcentral. Lineage: Eukaryota; Metazoa; Chordata; Mammalia; Rodentia; Muridae.